This 2914-nucleotide long non-coding RNA is filed under the name Homo sapiens (human). RNAcentral's name for it is "HSALNT0224498". The record is from RNAcentral. Lineage: Eukaryota; Metazoa; Chordata; Mammalia; Primates; Hominidae.
AAGGGAGGUGUAAAAUUGUUCUCACCCUGUGAAAAUAAUCUAAAAUGUGGAAACUUUUUUUCUGGGAAACAACAAAAUGUUCACAUGAGCAUCUUUAAUGCAGCAGGGCAUCCCCCAUUCAGACACCAGGUCCAAGAUUGGCUGUUUAUAGAAAGAUGGCCUAUAAUCUUCUGGACAUUUAUCUGCUCUAAUUUAUAUACAUAAAGGAGCAGAGGGUGUUUUGGGGUUGGUUGGUGGGGCGGGGGGUUUGCUGAAGGAAAUAUAAGAAAAUGUGUGUUUGUGCGUGUGUGUGCAUGUGUUUGAGUGGGAAUGAAGGAACUGAUCUAGUGUGUCUGUUCAGGGCCCAGGCACUCAGAUUACUCUUUUUCCCCCUCAGUAUAACUCAAUGAGAUUUGAGUGAAAAAGAUCAAUCUCUGGAGAAGUGUUCUGUUUUCUUAUUUGCUUUGUUUUAUUUUUCUUGUGAAAUACAUUGUAAAUGAAAAGCAUAUAAGUAAUGCAUAUUAACAAUUUAAAUAAUUAUUUUACAAAGAAAACCUGUGUACUCGGCAGCCAACUUAAGAAACAGAAACUUUGAUGGCAGAGGUGGGCGGAUUACUUAAGACCAGGAGUUCGAGACCAGCCUGGCCAACAUGGUGAAACUCCAUCUCUACUAAAAUUACAAAAAUUAGCUGGGUGUGGUGGUGCAUGCUUGUAAUCCCAGCUACUUGGGAGGCUGAGGCAGAAGAACCACUUGAACCCAGGAGGCUGAGCUUGCAGUGAUCUGAGAUCCUGCCACUGCACUCCUGCCUUGGCAACAGAAUGAGACACUGUCUCAAAACAAAACAAAAAAAGAAAUAGAAACUUUGCAUCUUUCUCUCCCAUUCCAAUUAAUUACUAUACUGAAGUUUGUAUUAGUAAAUCCUUUGAUUUUCAUUAGUUUGUGUAUCCUUAUUGCUUAAGCAAUAUAUUGUUUAGUUUUGCCUCUUUUUUACCUUUACUGUAUUUUUACUCUUACUAAAUAUAUAUUUCUAUGUCUUGCUUUUUACACUCAAUAUUGUUUGAAGCUUGUCUGUGUUGAUGCAUGUAACUGUAGUCUGCCCAUUUUCCUUGAUGGAUAGCAUUCCGAUAUGUAAAUUACCAACUUGCUCGGAGGUGCAGCCAUUAAAUCCUCAUUUUGAGCAAUCACCCCAAGUAAGACUGAUGCAGGUGGACUUUUGCUCACACUUCGGGAAUUACUGUCUUAGAGGACACAGUCCGAGCUCUUACCUCCCAGUUUCCCAAGUCUCUACAUCAGCCUUUUAAUUUUAGUAGAACUGUUUGUUUUCCUUUUCCAAAAAUAUUUUCUCAUCAUUCUUCGCCUAGAUAAUUCUUAUGCUUUAAGUCUCUCCAUUAAGCUAUAAACUCCUCCAAACAUUGUCAUUAUUAUCAUUGUUGUCACUGACAUUUAUGGAGCAGAUACAGUGUACCAGGUAGUUAGUACAAAGAGUUUUACAUGGAUCAUCUCAUUAAUGCUCGUCCAAACCCAUGAAAAAGGUGCUGGGAUUAGCAUCAUUUUACAGAUAAGGAAGUAAGGGUCAGAGAGAUUAAGUAACUUGCCCAAAGUUAAACAGCUCUGGAAUGUGGAUCUCUUUAACUAUCUUACUUGUCUCUGAACCUCUAGGAUCUAGGGUAGGACUUUGGUGUGUGGAAGGCACUUGAUUAAUGUCUGUUGAGCUGCACUGAAAGGAAAAGCCAAGGAGACCAGAUGGAAAACAAUCCGUUUAGUUCAGAUGAUGGCAGUGGGGAUGGAAAAGAGGAGCUGGAAAUAAGACUUGGCAUGACAGACUAUUACAUAGCUGAAUCUGGGGCGUGAGGUUAGGGCAGGGAAUGAGGAAGGGACAAGGCAUUUCCAUUUUUUCACUUUGAGCACUUCUGUAUUUUCUGGAAAUGUUUACAACAAGCACGUGGUGCUUUAAUAAUUUUUUUUAAAGAAGAGAAAGUGUAGAGGCAGCAACUACAUGACUAGGCACCAGCAAAAUAUAGAAAAAAAAGGACAAAAAGAAAUCCAAGCUGACCAGCAGGCUUCUGGCAAGGCAAUGUAGGAGAAUGGGGAAUUGAAGGCAGAAAGAGAAAUGCCUGGGGGAAUGCUUCCGGGGGAGAUACUGACUGUAAUUUGGAGAGUCUGCUUUUGGGAAGCAGCAGGUCAUUCUGGGGAGGUCUCCACCAAGUAGCUAGACUUGUAGGUCUGAAAUUCAGGAGAGAGGUUGAGCCAGACCCAUGCUCUGAGAAAUGAUGGUUGAAGUCAUAAGCUAAAUGUGCGGAGCAAAAAAGAAAGAAGAAAGAAGACCUCAACCAAAGUGUUGACAGGGUCAGGCAUAUCUGAGUGGAAGAAGAAGAGGAGCCAGGCCAGGCGCGGUGGCUCAUGCCUAGAAUCCCAGCACUUUGGGAGGCCGAGGUGGGCAGAUCACCUGAGGCAGGAGUUCAAGACCAGCCUGGUGAAACCCCCAUCUCUACCAAAAGUACAAAAAUUAGCUGGGCCUGUAGUCCCAGCUACUCUGGAGGCUGAGGCACCAGAAUCCCUUGAACCUGGGAGGUGGAGGUUGCAGUGAGCUGGUGAGCCAAGAUCCUGCCACUGCACUCCAGCCUGGGCAACAAAGCAAGACUUUGUCUCAAAAACAAAACAAAACAAAACAAAACAAAACAAAAAAAUCCAGAGGAGCCAGGGAAGGUACUUGAAGAGGAGCAGCCAGAAAUGUAGGAGAAUCAUCUCUCAACCUCAUAGUCACCAAUGGAAAAGAUAAUUUUUUUAAAAAGGCCAUAUGUAAAUGGCAUCAAACAGUAAAGAGUUGUUGAAUCAGAAGAAGACUAACAAGAGGCCUUCAGAUGUGGAAAUUAAGUCUUUUUUUUUUUUUAAGAGACAAGUUCUAGCUCUGUCACGCAAUCUGGAGUACGGUGG